AUGGGCCGCUGGCUGUUGUUCCCAGGCCUCCUAAAUAAAGGGGGUACCCUGAUCAGUCAGGAUCUCCACUGGGAUGCCGACUCGGCUGGAGAGCAGGAAGAGUUCCUGGGCAAUGGCUUUGGCGGUGGCUUUUCGGAGGGGAACUGCCUCUGGGUACCGGGUGGCAUAGUCGACAAUCACCAGGAUGUGUUUAUGUCCCCAGGCAGACUUAGGCAAUGGCUCCACAAGGUCCAUCCCGAUGCGCUUGAAGGGCACCUCGAUGAUGGGCAGGAUGUUUUGGACGACGAAAUGUGGGAGAGGGUGGGGGCCAGGCUAAGCUUCCUUGUUCGAGGCAAGAAGAACGGGGCGCUGUCGAGGUCCUUUCGUGGGCCUCCGUAUUCGGCGGCCCCCUCUUGGGCUGGCAGGCUGCGUAGCUGUGGCCAGGCGCUGGAAGCGGCAGAAAUGGUCACUCUGUUGUGUAUCUCCAUGGACACAGGUUAUGGGGAGGAAGGUUUUAUACUCCAUUCGUGGGGCAAGAAUGUGAGACUGUACCAAAGUGACUGCACUGCCGGAGUCCAGGAUGGCCUGGAACCGUUUCCCAUUUAUUUUCACAUCCAUUUCUGGCGCUCCAACCGGCAGGUCGCAGUGCACAAUACAGCCUAUCAGCCAGGUCAGUGCAGGAAGCACGGGGGCCUCUGUUGGCAUGGGCUCAUCCCGCGGAGAGGGAGCCGCCUGCCUGCUUAUUGGUCGCUGGUUGCCCUCUGGUGCACGUCACUCCUGGACCACCCUCCAGGGAAACGGCGGCGCUCACUCCCCAGCAUCCCGAUGUUGGGUCGCAUCAACCGGCUCGACAGCCUCCAUGAGCUCCGAGGUGGUGGUUGGGUUCCUCAUCCCAACUGCCUGCCGGUGAGAUCGGGGAAGGCCUUGGAGAAGUCGGUCUAUCACGACACUUUCUGCCACCUGACUAGCCGAUGGAGCCCCCUCCAGCAGCCAGUGCUGCGCGAGUCACGUGAGUUCGGCAGCCUGGGCACGGGCCGGCAGACAGGGGUUAUAUAUUGA
Long non-coding RNA from Cyprinus carpio (common carp), 1038 nucleotides. Lineage: Eukaryota; Metazoa; Chordata; Actinopteri; Cypriniformes; Cyprinidae. The record is from Ensembl.